UACGGGGGGGGCAAGCGUUGUUCGGAAUUACUGGGCGUAAAGGGCUCGUAGGCGGCCAACUAAGUCAGACGUGAAAUCCCCAGGCUCAACCUGGGAACUGCGUCUGAUACUGGAUGGCUUGAAUUCGGGAGAGGGAUGCAGAAUUCCAGGUGUAGCGGUGAAAUGCGUAGAUAUCAUGAGGAAUACCAGAGGCGAAGGCGGCUACCUGGACAAUUGCUGACGCUCAGGCACGAAAGCGUGGGGAGCAAAAGGG
RNAcentral lists this ribosomal RNA (253 nucleotides) under uncultured bacterium. RNAcentral's name for it is "partial 16S ribosomal RNA". It matches the Rfam family "Bacterial small subunit ribosomal RNA", at positions 524 to 776 of the family's 1533-position model. The record is from RNAcentral.